Molecule: ribosomal RNA, 497 nt
Filed under: uncultured bacterium
Lineage: Bacteria
Description: partial 16S ribosomal RNA
Rfam family: Bacterial small subunit ribosomal RNA
Source: RNAcentral
GAUGAACGCUGGCGGCGUGCCUAAUACAUGCAAGUCGAGCGAACGGACGAGAAGCUUGCUUCUCUGAUUUUAGCGGCGGACGGGUGAGUAACACGUGGAUAACCUACCUAUAAGACUGGUAUAACUUCGGGAAACCGGAUCUAAUACCGGAUAAUAUUUUGAACCGCAUGGUUCAAAAGUGAAAGACGGUCUUGCUGUCACUUAUAGAUGGAUCCGCGCUGCAUUAGCUAGUUGGUAAGGUAACGGCUUACCAAGGCAACGAUGCAUAGCCGACCUGAGAGGGUGAUCGGACACACGGGAACUGAGACACGGUCCAGACUCCUACGGGAGGCAGCAGUAGGGAAUCUUCCGCAAUGGGCGAAAGCCUGACGGAGCAACACCGCGUGAGUGAUGAAGGUCUUCGGAUCGUAAAACUCUGUUAUUAGUGAAGAACAUAUGUGUAAGUAACUGUGAACAUCUUGACGGUACCUAAUCAGAAAGCCACGGCUAACUACGUG